UGGGGAAUCUUAGACAAUGGGGGAAACCCUGAUCUAGCCAUGCCGCGUGGACGAUGAAGGCCUUAGGGUUGUAAAGUCCUUUCAGCUGGGAAGAUAAUGACGGUACCAGCAGAAGAAGCCCCGGCUAACUCCGUGCCAGCAGCCGCGGUAAUACGGAGGGGGCUAGCGUUGUUCGGAAUUACUGGGCGUAAAGCGCACGUAGGCGGACUGGAAAGUUGGGGGUGAAAUCCCAGGGCUCAACCCUGGAACUGCCUUCAAAACUAUCAGUCUGGAGUUCGAGAGAGGUGAGUGGAAUUCCGAGUGUAGAGGUGAAAUUCGUAGAUAUUCGGAGGAACACCAGUGGCGAAGGCGGCUCACUGGCUCGAUACUGACGCUGAGGUGCGAAAGCGUGGGGAGCAAACAG
Molecule: ribosomal RNA, 403 nt
Filed under: uncultured organism
Description: bacterial SSU rRNA
Rfam family: Bacterial small subunit ribosomal RNA
Source: RNAcentral